RNAcentral lists this ribosomal RNA (400 nucleotides) under uncultured bacterium. RNAcentral describes it as "bacterial SSU rRNA". It matches the Rfam family "Bacterial small subunit ribosomal RNA", at positions 355 to 772 of the family's 1533-position model. The record is from RNAcentral.
UGGGGAGUAUUGGACAAUGGGGGCAACCCUGAUCCAGCAAUGCCGCGUGAGUGAUGAAGGCCUUAGGGUUGUAAAGCUCUUUCGGCGGGGAAGAUGAUGACGGUACCCGCAGAAGAAGCCCCGGCUAACUUCGUGCCAGCAGCCGCGGUAAUACGAAGGGGGCUAGCGUUGUUCGGAAUUACUGGGCGUAAAGGGCGCGUAGGCGGUCUUGUAAGUCAGGCGUGAAAGGCCCGGGCUCAACCUGGGGACUGCGCUUGAUACUGCGAGGCUUGAAUCCGGGAGAGGAUGGCGGAAUUCCCAGUGUAGAGGUGAAAUUCGUAGAUAUUGGGAAGAACACCGGUGGCGAAGGCGGCCAUCUGGCCCGUGAUUGACGCUGAGGCGCGAAAGCGUGGGGAGCAAA